GGGCGCAUAGCUCAGCUGGCUAGAGCCACCGGCUCAUAACCGGUCGGUCGUAGGUUCGAGUCCUACUGCGCCCACCG
Molecule: transfer RNA, 77 nt
Filed under: Desulfofustis sp.
Lineage: Bacteria; Pseudomonadati; Thermodesulfobacteriota; Desulfobulbia; Desulfobulbales; Desulfocapsaceae
Description: tRNA-Met
Rfam family: tRNA
About the family: Transfer RNA (tRNA) molecules are approximately 80 nucleotides in length.
Source: RNAcentral